GAGUUUGAUCCUGGCUCAGAAUGAACGCUGGCGGCAGGCCUAACACAUGCAAGUCGAACGGAGUUAUAUUGUAGCUUGCUAUGGUAUAACUUAGUGGCAGACGGGUGAGUAAUGUAUAGGAAUCUACCUAGUAGUACGGAAUAAUUGUUGGAAACGGCAACUAAUACCGUAUACGCCCUACGGGGGAAAAAUUUAUUGCUAUUAGAUGAGCCUAUAUUAGAUUAGUUAGUUGGUGAGGUAAAGGCUUACCAAGACAAUGAUCUAUAGCUGAUCUGAGAGGAUGAUCAGCCACACUGGAACUGAGAUACGGUCCAGACUCCUACGGGAGGCAGCAGUGGGGAAUAUUGGACAAUGGGCGAAAGCCUGAUCCAGCCAUGCCGCAUGAGUGAAGAAGGCCUUCGGGUUGUAAAGCUCUUUUAGUGAGGAAGAUAAUGACGGUACUCACAGAAGAAGUCCUGGCUAACUCCGUGCCAGCAGCCGCGGUAAUACGGAGAGGGCUAGCGUUAUUCGGAAUCAUUGGGCGUAAAGGGCGCGUAGGCGGGUUAGUAAGUUAAAAGUGAAAUCCCAAGGCUCAACCUUGGAACUGCUUUUAAAACUGCUAGUCUAGAGAUUGAAAGAGGAUAGAGGAAUUCCUAGUGUAGAGAUGAAAUUCGUAAAUAUUAUGAGGAACACCAGUGGCGAAC
Molecule: ribosomal RNA, 683 nt
Filed under: uncultured Hyphomicrobiales bacterium
Lineage: Bacteria; Pseudomonadati; Pseudomonadota; Alphaproteobacteria; Hyphomicrobiales
Description: bacterial SSU rRNA
Rfam family: Bacterial small subunit ribosomal RNA
Source: RNAcentral